This 465-nucleotide ribosomal RNA is filed under the name uncultured bacterium. RNAcentral's name for it is "partial 16S ribosomal RNA". It matches the Rfam family "Bacterial small subunit ribosomal RNA", at positions 339 to 795 of the family's 1533-position model. The record is from RNAcentral.
CUACGGGUUGCUCCAGUGGGGAAUAUUGGACAAUGGGGGAAACCCUGAUCCAGCAAUGCCGCAUGUGUGAAGAAGGCCUGCGGGUUGUAAAGCACUUUCGGUUGGGAGGACUGCUUCUAGCACUAAUAUUGUUGGAAGUUGACGUUACCUUCAGAAGAAGCACCGGCUAACUCCGUGCCAGCAGCCGCGGUAAUACGGAGGGUGCAAGCGUGAAUCGGAAUUACUGGGCGUAAAGCGCGCGUAGGCGGCUAGAUCAGUCGGGUGUGAAAGCCCCGGGCUUAACCUGGGAACUGCAUCCGAUACUGUCUAGCUUGAGUACAGGAGAGGAGAGUGGAAUUCCACAUGUAGCGGUGAAAUGCGUAGAUAUGUGGAGGAACACCAAUGGCGAAGGCAGCUCUCUGGCCUGAUACUGACGCUGAGGUGCGAAAGCGUGGGGAGCGAACAGGAUUAGAUACCCCCGUAGUC